GCACGGGUGCGUAACGCGUAUAGAACCUACCUUUUACAGAGGGAUAGCCUUUAGAAAUGAAGAUUAAUACCUCAUAGUAUUGCGAUUUGGCAUCAGAUUGUAAUUAAAGAUUUAUCGGUAAAAGAUGGCUAUGCGUCCUAUUAGUUAGUUGGUAAGGUAACGGCUUACCAAGACAUCGAUAGGUAGGGGUCCUGAGAGGGAGAUCCCCCACACUGGUACUGAGACACGGACCAGACUCCUACGGGAGGCAGCAGUGAGGAAUAUUGGACAAUGGAGGAGACUCUGAUCCAGCCAUGCCGCGUGCAGGAAGACUGCCCUAUGGGUUGUAAACUGCUUUUAUACAGGAAGAAACACUAGUACGUGUACUAGCUUGACGGUACUGUAAGAAUAAGGACCGGCUAACUCCGUGCCAGCAGCCGCGGUAAUACGGAGGGUCCGAGCGUUAUCCGGAAUCAUUGGGUUUAAAGGGUCCGCAGGCGGUCGAUUAAGUCAGAGGUGAAAUCCCAUAGCUUAACUAUGGAACUGCCUUUGAUACUGGUUGACUUGAGUCAUAUGGAAGUAGAUAGAAUGUGUAGUGUAGCGGUGAAAUGCAUAGAUAUUACACAGAAUACCGAUUGCGAAGGCAGUCUACUACGUAUGUACUGACGCUCAUGGACGAAAGCGUGGGGAGCGAACAGGAUUAGAUACCCUGGUAGUCCACGCCGUAAACGAUGGACACUAGUUGUUGGGAUUUAUCUCAGUGACUAAGCGAAAGUGAUAAGUGUCCCACCUGGGGAGUACGAUCGCAAGAUUGAAACUCAAAGGAAUUGACGGGGGCCCGCACAAGCGGUGGAGCAUGUGGUUUAAUUCGAUGAUACGCGAGGAACCUUACCAGGGCUUAAAUGUAGUAUGACAGGUUUAGAGAUAGACUUUUCUUCGGACAUAUUACAAGGUGCUGCAUGGUUGUCGUCAGCUCGUGCCGUGAGGUGUCAGGUUAAGUCCUAUAACGAGCGCAACCCUUGUCGUUAGUUGCCAGCAUGUAAAGAUGGGGACUCUAACGAGACUGCCGGUGCAAACCGUGAGGAAGGUGGGGAUGACGUCAAAUCAUCACGGCCCUUACGUCCUGGGCCACACACGUGCUACAAUGGUAUGGACAAUGAGCAGCCAUCUGGCAACAGAGAGCGAAUCUACAAACCAUAUCACAGUUCGGAUCGGAGUCUG
RNAcentral lists this ribosomal RNA (1200 nucleotides) under bacterium RFB F06. RNAcentral's name for it is "bacterial SSU rRNA". It matches the Rfam family "Bacterial small subunit ribosomal RNA", at positions 100 to 1307 of the family's 1533-position model. The record is from RNAcentral.